CUUAGGUUCACCGCUUCUCGACCCAAUCGGAUUAUGAUUAGUGCCUCUUCAUGUGUUCUACUAUGGGGUUAGUUUGUACACCGAUCAACCGCCUCAGAUGCUUCUCCAUUCUUAUCCCCUCUUCUCCUGUUUCUCAUUCGACUUUUGCUUUCUUCAAUCACAAUUGUAGUACACGAUGCCAAGGAGCUUCUUCUCCACUUUCUGGCUUACCUGUUACGAUCGAGACACCACCAUCAAGUUUUACCAUUAAUUGAAAAAGAUUCAAGCGUUUCCAAUCAUUCAGCAACCGACGACGACUUCAUUAU
This 305-nucleotide long non-coding RNA is filed under the name Lactuca sativa (garden lettuce). RNAcentral describes it as "long non-coding RNA (LSAT_LNC009882)". Lineage: Eukaryota; Viridiplantae; Streptophyta; Magnoliopsida; Asterales; Asteraceae. The record is from RNAcentral.